AACAGGGAUUGCCCUAGUAACGGCGAGUGAAGCGGCAAAAGCUCAGAUUUGGAAUCUGGCGUCAUUGUGGCGUCCGAGUUGUAGUCUGAAGAGGGGAAUUCAAGUGUAGCUUUGGCUUAAGUUCCUUGGAACAGGACGUCAUAGAGGGUGAGAACCCCGUUAAUGGCCUUUGUCUUAUGCUUAUGUGAAUCUCCUUCAAUGAGUCGAGUUGUUUGGGAAUGCAGCUCUAAAUGGGUGGUAAAUUCCAUCUAAAGCUAAAUACUGGCAAGAGACCGAUAGCGCACAAGUAGAGUGAUCGAAAGAUGAAAAGAACUCUGAACAGAGAGUUAAAUAGUACGUGAAAUUGUUGAAAGGGAAGCACUUGUAACCAGACACGCUUGCAGCUGAUCAAUUCUGAUUUUUGAGGAUGCACUCAGUUGUUAGCGAGCCAACAUCAGUCAUGGUGACAGGAAAAAGACCAAGGAAAGGUAGCUCCUUUCGGGGAGUGUUAUAGUCCUGGGUGUAAUGCUGCCUACUAUGAUUGAGGACCGCGCUUUGGCGAGGAUGUUGGCAUAAUGGUUUUAAGUGACCCGUCUUGAAACACGGACCAAGGAGUCUAACAUCUAUGCGAGUGUU
Molecule: ribosomal RNA, 615 nt
Filed under: uncultured fungus
Lineage: Eukaryota; Fungi
Description: eukaryotic LSU rRNA
Rfam family: Eukaryotic large subunit ribosomal RNA
Source: RNAcentral